Long non-coding RNA from Neofelis nebulosa (Clouded leopard), 2739 nucleotides. RefSeq lists it as uncharacterized. Lineage: Eukaryota; Metazoa; Chordata; Mammalia; Carnivora; Felidae. The transcript has 3 exons. The record is from RefSeq and is a predicted model, not a curated record.
UUUGUUUGUUUUUAAAGAAUAAGUAACUGCUGGAGAAGCUUGCUGUGGCCGUGAGAUCAUCUCUCAUGAUCAGAUACAUACACGUCACCACCUUUGGUGAAGGCUAACCGUGCCCCCUCUGUGAUCCCACAACAACCCACACACAACAGAAGAGGUGUAAGCGGGUAUGUUUGUGCUACAAACCCUCUCUUAAAACUUUGGGCCACAUUUCACUUUAACAGAUGCACCUGUUUAUUCAGAUCCAGUCCAUCUUUCUGUAUGUUUUUCUUGUUUGAAAUAAAUAACCCCACUUCCCGUUGUUUGAAGAUGUGCAGGUUAUGAAGAAUAAUCUUGAAUGGAUCACAAAGAAUACAAAUGACCCACUGUUGCAGCGUGACUCACAAUUAACACUUUGGUCUCUGAGUUUAUUAAAAUGAAUGGCUGUGGAUUGUAUAAACUGAGAUAUAAAUAUUUGAAGUAUGGAGCACUGUAUGUCUGAGACUCGGAGGAAUAUAUAGUAACGAAAAGAGAGCAUGUGAUAAGUCACGUUUAUUCGUCAUGGCUUUGAGCGAGAUUGACUUCCGGUUAUUUCGACUGAAGAGAGAGUUUGGACCAAAAGCCCCAAAUGAAAACAAUUGGGUAAAAUGUCUUUGAACACUGUUUCCAGGAAUUGGAGCCCUAACAAGGUGAUAAAAUGGUAUGAGUAAAGAUCCAGGAGAAGGUGGAAACCCGCAGAGAAAUGGUCAACCUUGGGUGCUGCCUCUGUCCUGGGGGUUUCUGCUGAUUCAGGAAGAGGAGGCCAGAAUCUGAGAAGCACUUUGGCCACCUUGGGAAGCGGGAGGUCAAGAGCAGGAAUCCAGGCCUGCCAAGUUUGGGUCUCCAUGAGUCCCUGAAGCAUUGAGUUGGGAGCCCAAUGGGUCACAGCCUAGAGGUCAGAAGAAAGAAAAAGUAACUCACUCCCACAUGGACCACCACUCAACUUCAAGUUCCCCAAGUGGCCCCAAGUAUGUCAAACACUGAAAUUGUAUUAAGGUGAUCCCAGUUUGAUGGUACCUCCAGGUACCUGGCUGAAAUAAAAGAAAGUCAUCUCUGGAGAAAGGUGACAUCCUACCAGCCCUCAAGCUACUUCUAAGCAACCCCUGAAAUACAAUGUUUGGCACCCUAUCUGAGAUAACCAGAAACAUGAGGGGACAACACACCAUAAAUUAGAAUGAGCAAAAACACCAGGCAAUCAAAAAAGGCACACAAGGGCUCUAGAGAAAAGAAUUUUCAAACACAAUCUCUAAAGUAAUUAUGCUUAUGGUGUUCAAGGUUUUAAAAGGCAAGGUUUAAAAUUCUUAACAGAAAACUGAAAACUUUAAAAAAGCAAGAACAGUUUGGGACAAAGUAAAAAUUCUAGAACUGGAACACAUUAAUCACACAAUGAGUGUGUUUUGCAGCAGGUUAGACCCAGCUGAAGAGAGAAUAUAUAAACUGGAAGAUAAGCCAAAGAAAAUAUGCAGAUGGAAGCAGGCAGAGAAAAAUGAUGGAAAAGACAAAGGAGGUACAAGACGAGGGGGAUACAAUGAAAGCACAGCAUUUCAGAAGGAAAGGAGAGAACGGACAGAGCAACAUUUGAAGAAAUAGAGGCUGAGGAGGAUCUUGGCUCUUUCGAGGAGUGCUGGCCAGUUAUUUAGUACAACGUCCUUCCAUGUGUGUUUUCCAGUGUUUCCUCGCGGUUGAGUUCAGGAGACACCGGCUGUCCGCGUGGGCUCCCCUUGGGCCCCCCUCGGAGGACCUGAUGCUUUACCACCUGCUCUGUGAAGCUCCAUCUGUACCGGGGGCCCUAUCCCCACUCGCAGGACUCACCCAGGCUCCCAGGCCCCUCUGGAGGGGAGACACGCCGUCUCCUGUUGGUCUGGAUGUCUCUAGGGAGUGUGUCUGUGAGAAGGUGGGCUCUAGGACGGGACACCUCCCUUGUCUGGGUGAUCGCCAGGCCUGCUUUAGGAGAGGGGAUUGGAGGACAUCCUGGGGGCUCCAUAAGGAGACGAGUGGGGUGUUAGGGAAGCUCACCCGGGCUCAGGGCAGGCACCUGAGAGCCAGAGCGUCAGGGAGCAGCCUGCAGGUGUCCCGUCUGGGGUCUGGGAACCUCCCGAUGCCGCCUGGAUGAGGCCGCAAGCCAACAUUUUCACCCGCUGCCUCACCACCUCUGCCCGCUCGCCUUUUACCCGGGUUUCCCCACUUCCCUGGGCCUCUGUGCUCAUCCUUGCUCUCUGGACGGGGGGCCCUGCACACAGGAAGGGGACGAAACAGGCCCAAAGGCGUCAGCCUGGAGGAAUCCAUCUUGUGGACUUUGCCAGCACCCUGGGAUCCGGCAGUUCCGGAAUUCGCUCUCUGUGCUUAGUCGUGAGUGGCUGUGUGACCAGGGAACACUUGUGUGUUUGCGCAGCGCCUUCCAUAAAAUGGAAAUAGUGGCCCCGUGUACCUUACAGGAGCCAUAGGAACCAAGUCUAGUAUGUUACAGCAUUGUAAAAUCACCGGAAAUUCCGAGUCGCAAUUCAAAUGCUCGCCGCUACGUGCCAUAGACUCGCACGAACCACCGUGAAACACCCAGAAAGUGCUAGUGAGGUCACAGAGCCUCCUCCCCGAUGGCUCCUGCCCCUCCCUUCCGCACGGCGGUCCCCAGGCUGGGGGCUGCUCUGCUCCCCUCCCUGGAGGGCCUGCACUGUGCUCUCUGACCGCUCUCACGGCAGGAGCCCCCCCCCCCCCAAGUCUGCCCCC